RNAcentral lists this ribosomal RNA (683 nucleotides) under uncultured Glomeromycotina. RNAcentral's name for it is "eukaryotic LSU rRNA". It matches the Rfam family "Eukaryotic large subunit ribosomal RNA", at positions 91 to 634 of the family's 3401-position model. The record is from RNAcentral. Lineage: Eukaryota; Fungi; Glomeromycota.
GAGUGAAGAGGGAUAAGCUCAAAUUUUAAAUCUGAUCGGUUCUACUUAUCAGAAUUGUAAUUUGAAGAAACGUUUUCUGGUCUUGAAUUAGCCUAAAUCUUUUGGAACAAGGUAUCAUGGAGGGUGACAAUCCCGUUCAUGGUUAAUUUUAAGGCGCUUUACGAUACGUUUUCAAAGAGUCGAGUUGUUUGGGAUUGCAGCUCAAAAUGGGAGGUAAAUUUCUCCUAAAGCUAAAUAUUGGCGAGAGACCGAUAGCGAACAAGUACCGUGAGGGAAAGAUGAAAAGAACUUUGAAAAGAGAGUUAAACAGUACGUGAAAUUGUUGAAAGGGAAACGACUGAAGUCAGUCAUACCAACGGGAAAUCAACCUUUUGAGCUUGGUCUCGUGGGUUUUGAAGAGUUUCAAAGCCUUCGGAUUCGCGGGAUUGGGAUCUCUUGGCGUACUUUUUCGUACGGUUAGUCAACAUCGGUUUUGAAUGUCAUAAAAUGACUGGAGGAAUGUAGCUUCGAUCUCGUAUUGAAGUGUUAUAGCCUUUGGCAGAUGUGAUGUUUGAGACCGAGGAUUGCAACGGAUACCCUCCAGGGCUAUUCGUCUGAUCUCUGAUACGUUGCCUUGAUGUUGAAAGCUUGCUUAUGAUGUUAGGGUAUUACGGUCAAAAGGUUAGAACGAAUUACAUUCGUUA